UACGUAGGGGCCGAGCGUUGUCCGGAGUUAUUGGGCGUAAAGCGCGCGCAGGCGGCUUGGCGCGCCCGACGUGAAAGCCCCCGGCUUAACCGGGGAGAGUCGUCGGGGACGGCCGGGCUUGAGGGCGGGAGAGGGUGGUGGAAUUCCCGGUGUAGUGGUGAAAUGCGUAGAGAUCGGGAGGAACACCUGUGGCGAAGGCGGCCACCUGGGCCGACCCUGACGCUGAGGCGCGAAGGCGUGGGGAGCGAACCGG
This 253-nucleotide ribosomal RNA is filed under the name uncultured bacterium. RNAcentral's name for it is "partial 16S ribosomal RNA". It matches the Rfam family "Bacterial small subunit ribosomal RNA", at positions 524 to 776 of the family's 1533-position model. The record is from RNAcentral.